RNAcentral lists this ribosomal RNA (448 nucleotides) under uncultured bacterium. RNAcentral describes it as "SSU rRNA". It matches the Rfam family "Bacterial small subunit ribosomal RNA", at positions 26 to 518 of the family's 1533-position model. The record is from RNAcentral.
AGAACGAACGCUGGCGGCAGGCCUCAAACAUGCAAGUCUAGGGGGUGUAGCAAUACAUCACCGGCGGACGGGUGCGUAACGCGUGGGAAUGUACCUAUUGGUUCGGAACAACACAGGGAAACUUGUGCUAAUGCCGAAUGUGCCCGCAAGGGGAAAGAUUUAUCGCCAAUAGAUCAGCCCGCGUUCGAUUAGCUAGUUGGUGAGGUAAUGGCUCACCAAGGCGACGAUCGAUAGCUGUUCUGAGAGGAAGAUCAGCCACACUGGGACUGAGACACGGCCCAGACUCCUACGGGAGGCAGCAGUUGGGAAUCUUGGACAAUGGGGGAAACCCUGAUCCAGCCAUGCCGCGUGAGUGAUGAAGGCCUUCGGGUUGUAAACUCUUUCGCGCACGACGAUAAUGACGGUAGUGGCGAGAAGAAGCUCCGGCUAACUUCGCGCCAGCAGCCGC